CAGUAGCCGCUGUAAUACGAAGGGUGCAAGCGUUAAUCGGAAUUACUGGGCGUAAAGCGUGCGUAGGCGGUUUGUUAAGUCUGCUGUGAAAUCCCCGGGCUCAACCUGGGAAUGGCAGUGGAUACUGGCAAGCUAGAGUGUGUCAGAGGAUGGUGGAAUUCCCGGUGUAGCGGUGAAAUGCGUAGAGAUCGGGAGGAACAUCAGUGGCGAAGGCGGCCAUCUGGGACAACACUGACGCUGAGGCACGAAAGCGUGGGGAGCAAACAGGAUUAGAUACCCCCGUAGUCCCUGUCUCUUAUAC
This 301-nucleotide ribosomal RNA is filed under the name uncultured bacterium. Its description in RNAcentral is "partial 16S ribosomal RNA". It matches the Rfam family "Bacterial small subunit ribosomal RNA", at positions 509 to 807 of the family's 1533-position model. The record is from RNAcentral.